This is a long non-coding RNA of Mastomys coucha (southern multimammate mouse), 1135 nucleotides long. RefSeq lists it as uncharacterized. The record is from RefSeq and is a predicted model, not a curated record. NCBI's taxonomy places the organism in Eukaryota, Metazoa, Chordata, Mammalia, Rodentia, Muridae. The transcript has 5 exons.
GUAUCAUCCUUCUUCCUGCUAUCUUUCCCCCACAGGAUGAACUGCUCUUCCUGCCACCAGGAACUGUAUUCUCUGGGAUGACAAGCCAAGCUAUCUGCAGAUAACUUGGAGGAGGCAUACAGAUAUAGUCAACAUGAGUACUCCUUCAGUAGGAAUCCAGAGCCUAGAAGAGGAGGACCACCUACAGAGCACAGGACUCUAGAAGAUCGCCCAUCUCCUGCUUCUGUGUUUGCAGGUUUCCAACUGUCUGAAAGAACUCAGCAUGCACUGUUGUCUUUUGAUGACAAAGAUGAACCAUGUCACUGCUCCAUCUGUGAAAAGAGAUAACAGAUUUCGUAUCUGGCCAGCUUUUUGUGGCUGGUUUACUCAAAGGUGACUCCAGUUUGUGUCAAGAGAACAAAGAGCACAGAGGCUGAGAAGACGGAAUGAAGCAUCAUGCUAACUUUUACCACUUGGUUUUCUCAAUUCAAAAUCCCAAAGCAAGACUCCAGGACCACGUCUAAGACGUCAAGAUAAGCCACAGUGUUGAACAGGAAACCAUUCGAGGAGAGACAGCAAUAGAGAAGCGAAUGAUAAAGCUAUAUCCCACAGCCCGUGGCUCAAGGAUAUCUGACUGAAAUCGAGCGGAUGAUAUUCCUCAAAGAGAGGGCAAGCGCUAUGAAGAGUUCCUGAGGUCAGCGGGAGAAGCCAGAUGGUACCAGGUCUCUUUCUUCCCAGAGCUUGUUUGUCUGAACAUACAAGCGAGCCAAUGAGAUUCCUAAUCAAUUCCCUUCUGAGUUGUUAGCAACAGUCUCCCCUGGAAGACGGCCACUCUAAAGCAUUCUCCUCCACAGUCGUAAUCGUUACCAUCUCAAACACAGCUACACCCCGCAGUGGAAGACACUGGAUUUAUUGAAAAUUGUUGAGCCUGAGAAAUAAAUCCCAGGUAAACCUCUUUAUCCCUGUGAACUCUGCACGGAGCACUGUUAAACCUGUAUAUGCAUGGCUGAAUAUUCUUUGUUUUCAAAAUAAGUGCCCACAAGGAGAGAGGGUUAUAUGUAAUGUAGCCAUUUGAUUUGAUACCAAAUACAAAUAAAUAAAUAAAAUGUUUAAAUAAAUAAAUAAAUAAAUAAAAUGGACGAUGUAAUUAAUUAAA